Molecule: ribosomal RNA, 447 nt
Filed under: uncultured bacterium
Lineage: Bacteria
Description: partial 16S ribosomal RNA
Rfam family: Bacterial small subunit ribosomal RNA
Source: RNAcentral
UUCCAGACUCCUACGGGAGGCAGCAGUGGGGGAUAUUGCACAAUGGGGGGAACCCUGAUGCAGCGACGCCGCGUGGGUGAAGGAGCGUUUCGGCGCGUAAAGCCCUAUCGGCAGGGAAGAAGGAGGACGGUACCUGACUAAGAAGCCCCGGCUAACUACGUGCCAGCAGCCGCGGUAAUACGUAGGGGGCAAGCGUUAUCCGGAUUUACUGGGUGUAAAGGGAGCGUAGGCGGCGCGUUAAGUCUGAUGUGAAAACCCGAGGCUCAACCACGGGAGUGCAUUGGAAACUGGCGGGCUGGAGUGCCGGAGAGGUAAGCGGAAUUCCUAGUGUAGCGGUGAAAUGCGUAGAUAUUAGGAGGAACACCAGUGGCGAAGGCGGCUUACUGGACGGCAACUGACGCUGAGGCUCGAAAGCGUGGGGAGCAAACAGGAUUAGAUACCCGAGUA